Molecule: long non-coding RNA, 1262 nt
Filed under: Homo sapiens (human)
Lineage: Eukaryota; Metazoa; Chordata; Mammalia; Primates; Hominidae
Description: HSALNT0011694
Source: RNAcentral
GGAAAACCAACAGGACCCUAGAAUGACGUUUUGAAAGAAAAAGAAAUAAAUGAAAAAUAAAUUUUUAUAAAAUUAUGACAUUCUGGAGGUGAAGAGGUUAAAGUCAUGACAAAACCUGCUGAGAAUAUUUCUCUUCUCCCGCCAAAAAAUUUCUAAAGAAUUAAUUCAAUUGAGAAUGCUUACGAAUAUAUGAAAUGAUGAAAAGUCAGAUUUACCAUCUAUGUUCCAGAGUCUCAGGAUUUCAAAUCUUUCUAAGAAAAGCUCCAAGUCUAUUUUUACUCAGUUCUGGCCUGCCAGAAUUAAAGCAGAUAUUAAAUAAUGAAGAAAAUGAAGACCAGAGACAUGAAGGAAACAUAGACUUCUUCAUUGUGAAAAGUUGGCCAGAAGGAAAAAUAUCAUCAAAGCCAUGGAUCCAUUAAUGAUAUUGAUUAUACCUGAGCUCCAGGAAGACCUCUUUCCCCUGGGAAACCACGUAAUCCUGCUGGUCCAUCUUUCCCUGAGAUACCUUGAGGACCUGGAUCACCCUAAAGAAUAUAAUAAACAUCGUCAAGACAGAUUAAUUUCUACACAUCUUUCUACAAACAAAAUUGUGAUUACCUCUAAACUACUAAAAGAAAGAAAUCUGUGAAGGCUGAGAUAUUUUCAUGAAAGAUGUCUGAGAAAAUUUAUGAAUGGUGAGGAACUUCACCUGGACUCAUAGAAACAGAUACUUUGAAAAGGAGGAGAAGAUGGAAGGGCUUUCUAGGAGAGGAAACAGCUUGGGAAAGGAUUCAUUUCUUCUCAGUACAUAAAUUUCGGAGCUAUUGAUGACAGCACAAAAAACAAAACAAAGAAACAGCAACAAAAACUAGACCCGGAAGUCCAUCAAACCCUCGAUCUCCCUGUAAAACCAUCAUCAUCAUCAUCAUCAUCAUCAUCAUCACAAUUCCAGUCUAGAUAUGUACUGCAAUUUAAAUGCGAAAUAUUCUCUCAGAUUCAGAAAAUGGAUUUUUAAAUAUAAAAUUUUCCAGAGUGAACUGACACAGGAUGUGAAUAUAAAAAUAUGUGAGCUCCUGACCUUUGCCCCAGGUUCUCCUGGCAUUCCUCUUCCUCCAUCUGCACCUGGACGACCCUAAUAAUGCCAACAGCAUGAUUAAGCGAAGUGACUUUUAUUACUAGCAAGGAAGUAAAAUAAAUAAAUAAAUAAAUAAAUAAAUAAAACUAAUGAUCAUGGCAGAUGCCUUCAAAAUGCACAAUGAAAAUAAGCCAUACCCUUUUUCCAG